Long non-coding RNA from Esox lucius (northern pike), 2233 nucleotides. RefSeq annotates it as nuclear envelope integral membrane protein 2. The record is from RefSeq and is a predicted model, not a curated record. NCBI's taxonomy places the organism in Eukaryota, Metazoa, Chordata, Actinopteri, Esociformes, Esocidae. The transcript is spliced from 9 exons.
GAAUUUGAAAGUGCACUAGCUAGCUAACAGCUUUCUUGCUAACAACAACUGUAACACAACAAAUAAAAAUGGGGAUGUUUUGUUCAUUUAUAACAGUUUUAGGUAUUUUAUACGUAGACGUUAAUGGAAUCCUUGGCUAUUCAUAUGCAGACUGCACGUACCUGAGAGAAAACCAAAACACAACGCAUUUUGGAACACGGUGUUUCUGCUACAACUCUGGAACAAUUAUCAGAUGGAAAGAUAUCUGGUCCACCUUCCAGGUGCAUGUUAAGGGAGAAGAGGGAGUCUACAUCGUGUACCCCACGGAGGGGACCAGGAACUGCUACGAGCCAGACCACUUCCUUGUGCAGUCCCAGUGCCUCCUUGACCACUACUGGCCCCCCAGUCCCAGGGUGGCAACGGAGAGUUUAGACAUCCCCCUGGAGCAGGAGGACGUGUGCUUCAUGGUGAAGACCCCCAGGGCUAACUCUGAGCACACUCUGCACAUCAGGGGCAAACGGUUGAAUAUAUUACGGUUUGGAGUCUUUGCGUGUGGCCUCGCACUCUUCUACUUUGCUGAUGUUUUUAGUAGGAGUUCCUUGUUUUUUUACACGUCAGGCAUUUCAGUGGGAGUUUUCUCCAUUGUGAUCUUUUUACUGUUGAUCCUGAAACGCUUCAUACCGAGUGGCCUGUUCAUCAUACUACUUGGUGCUAGCUCUGGUCUGUCCUACCUUGGUUACCAAGUGCUGCUCAGCCACUGGGACGACGUCAUGACCCUGUACUGGAGGCAUGCCCUGGGCUACCUGCUGGCGACCGGUCUGAUCAGCUGGCUGGCCUGCUACAAGCACGGCCCCAUCGCCAGCGAGCGCGUCCUGGCCCUGCUGACCUGGGGGCUCCAGGGCGCGGCCGUGGGCCUCAUGUACUACGGGGUGACCUACCCCAUGGCCUUCUACACCCUACUGGGCCUCCUUCUGGUCCUCAAGGCUCUGCCCUGGGUCUACAGGCUGCUGCUGGGGGCGUGCAGGCUGACAGGGUGGAUUCUGGCCUCCCUCCUGAGUGUGUUUCGGCGUAAGCCACGGGUGCCACAGGUGCGCCUCCUCACAGAGGAGGAGUACAGGGAGCAGGGAGAGGUGUACACCAAGGCCUCACUAGAGGCGCUCAAAGAGUGUUGCACCAAGCCUGCCUUCCCUGCCUGGGAUACCGUGCUCCGUCUCCGCUCGCCACAGAGGUUUGCAGCGUUCCUGAAGAGAGGAGACCACGUGACCGCCGAGGAGCAGCAGAGCCACGAAGAGGAUUACGGCCCCGGGGGGGCCUGCUACGAGGACAUGCUCUUCAGCUCCGCCAGCCACCGGGCGCUGGGCCUGGCUGCCAGCGACGACGACGACAUGAACGGCUAUGCCCAGGCCCCGUCCACAGCUAACUCCCUCUCGCCCCACACUGCGACCACGCCCAUGCCCCGCCCUGACACCGCUGCCAGCUGCCCGCCCCUGUUGUACAGUGCCCCCAUGUACCCCCACUACCAACCGCCCUACCCUCUCUUGCCCUCGCCCCCAGAGCCCUACGUCAGCCCGGAUGACGAGGAUGAGGACAUGGACCUGUUCUGAGCCCCAAGGGUGUUGUCCUUUGUGAUGACUCCGAGGGACCCCGAAAUAGCUAGGGAAUAACCACUCAGCCGGCACCAGGGGGGUGUUACCACACGGCUUCAACGUCCUGCCUCUCAGCCCUGUUCAUAGGACUGGCGUAUGCAUUGGCUGCAUUGAGUUUUUCCAUCGUUAAAACUGCGAGGAAGUGCCUAAAGCAGUCCGUGCUCGGGGAGAAUCGUGACGCCCCAGACGUCGUGGGUUUGUCAUCGUAACCCAAACUUUAAGGCUGUGUCUUGCAUUUCUACACCCCAAGGCACCUGUCUCAAUAAGGAAUCCAAAAAAUUCAGAAUCACAAUUACUGCAAAUCACCAGAAUGACUCAACACAGGUUAACACCUUUAGGACUAAUUGCUAGUAGAUGGUUUGAUUUUUUUUUCUCCUGUUUAUAAGUGAGCCUAGGACUCUGAGAGCUCCUGUUGGCACGCGUGUUCUCGGCUUUGGAGUCCUGUAUUCUAGCGCCCCCACCUGGCCAUUCAGGAACCUGCAGUCUCAGGGACAGCCAAUCACAUGCUGUAAACAUCAAACUUUUGUCAGAAGCCCACAGUCCUCUCUCCCCCUUGGCCAGAAAUAUGCCUGUGUUUUAGAUGUUUUUUUUUUUUUCUAUCAAAAUGU